Molecule: long non-coding RNA, 1238 nt
Organism: Hemicordylus capensis (graceful crag lizard)
Lineage: Eukaryota; Metazoa; Chordata; Lepidosauria; Squamata; Cordylidae
Exons: 5
Source: RefSeq, a predicted model, not a curated record
AGUUCGCUCUGGGCUCCUAUGGAACCCGAGCCACAGGGCGGGGCUCUCUCGGCGGCCUUUCCCCAUUGGCAGCCUGGGUUCUUUGAACCCUUUCGCCCAAUGGUGGCUCUGCCCCUGGCUUUCAACAGCUUUGGAGGUUGUCUGUUUUGUAACCUAUGUCAAGAAAGAGCAGAUUUGUAUGUCGAAAGUCUUUUGUUCUUUUCAGGUGAUGGAGAAGGCAGCGCCUGACAUCCAACGAAUGCAAAGUUCAUUCUAGGCAUGUUUCAGAUUCUUGAAAAAAAGACAGCAAUAUGAUAUUUUUAUUCAAGUAAAAAUCAGUUACCACUUUAGGUACACUCAUUUCAUCAGUGUGUUCAGCAAUGCUCCAAUGUAGUCUAUGGAUUUUGUUGGUUGCAGCUUUGAUCUGUCCCAAUUGACCUGGACUCCCAAGUCAUUUAACAGUCACAGGACAUACUGAAUUUGGGACUCCAACCUGUCCUGGUGUACCAGGAGCCAGUUGUCGAGAUAAAGGAAUACGAUGAUACCUUGCGUGCGCAGGGUCAAAGAACGUAACCAGGCAUGACAUCUCAGAGAGACUGCAGUGGUCAUUGUCCUAGAUUCCAUUUCUACCAGGUGUUUAAACGUACUAAGCUGCUGUCUGACGUAUACCUGGACCAAUAGGUUCUGUAGACUGAUGACCAAGGAUAGCACAUGCUGCAUGGUCAGUGGAUACAAGGAGGCAUCCUCUUUAGACAGUGGCAGCUCCUUCUCAUGUUCAUCUAUCGGCUGGACAAACUUCACAUAGGAGGAAGAGAGGUUCUGCCUAAAGAAGGCUUUCAGAAACUGAAGGAUGCUGACUGGACAGAAAACCAUUAUUAACAUAGAAGUCAAACAUCCCACACUUCACAGAUAUUGUUCACAACCACCAUUCUAGAACCCUAUACUGCACAUGUGAAUGCCAAGAGGGAAGCAAAGAACAGCCAAGCAGAACAAAGAAGAGCUUCAUUGGAUGAGAGGACAGCAGGUUCAGUAGGAGAGGUUGACAUCCAUGUGAGCUGGAGAACUCUCUCGAGUAGCUGUAGUAAGCGUGAAUUGGAAAGCAACAUAGCCACCACUGUAGAGAAGAAAGGAUCCAACAGGCCUUGUAAAACUACUUAUGCAGCAGGAAGUCAGCAGGAGGUUUUUCACACAUGGCUUUAUUCCUCAGGGUAUCUGAAGAGAUGUUUACUUCGGCAGAUUAAAUUGGCAGUCCACAUAGC